UCGCUUUGGGAGGAGCUCGCUUACUAUCAGCUUGUUGGUAGGGUAAUGGCCUACCAAGGCUAUGACGGUUAGGGGGUGUGAGAGCAUGACCCCCAGCAUUGGCACUGAAACACUGGCCAAACACCUACGGGUGGCUGCAGUCGAGAAUCUUCCACAAUGGGGGAAACCCUGAUGGAGCGAUGCCGCGUGCGGGAUGAAGGCCUUCGGGUUGUAAACCGCUUUUGUAGGGGACGAAAUUUUUGACGGUACCCUUUCGAAUAAGAGGUUGCUAACUCUGUGCCAGCAGCAGCGGUAAUACAGAGACCUCAAGCGUUAUCCGGAUUUACUGGGCGUAAAGCGUCUGUAGGGGGUUUAUUAAGUUCCAAGUAAAAUUUCAAGGCUCAACUUUGAAUUCGCUUGGAAAACUAAUAAACUAGAGUCUAGCAGAGGUGCAUGGAACUUGUGGUGUAGGAGUGAAAUCCGUUGAUAUCACAAGGAACACCAAAGGCGAAGGCAUUGCACUGGGCUAGCACUGACCCUGAGAGACGAAAGCGUGGGGAGCAAAACGGAUUAGAUACCCGUGUAGUCCACGCCCUAAACGAUGAAUGCUAAAUGUUCGGGGAUUCGACCCCCUGGGUGUUACAGCUAACGCGUUAAGCAUUCCGCCUGGGAAGUACGGCCGCAAGGCUAAAACUCAAAGGAAUAGACGGGGAUCCGCACAAGCGGUGGAGCGUCUGGUUUAAUUCGACAGUAAGCGUGGUACCUCACCAGGGUUUGACAUCCCUUGACAGCCUUGGAAACAAGGUUUCCUUCGGGCAAGGUGACAGGUGCUGCAUGGUCGUCGUCAGUUCGUGCCGUGAGGUGUUCCGUUAAGUCGGGAAACGAACGAAACCCCUAUUGCAUGUUACAAUUUCUCAUGCAAGACUGCCCGGAUAUACUGGGAGGAAGGUGGGGAUGACGUCAGAUCUGCAUGGUCCUUAUACCCUGGGCGACACAGGCGCUACAAUGGCAGAGACAAAGGGUUGCAAAACCGCAAGGUGAAGCUAAUCCCAAAAACUUUGUCUAAGUUCGGAUUGAAGGCUGCAAUUCGCCUUCAUGAAGCUGGAAUCGCUAGUAAUCGUGAAUCAGCCACGUCACGGUGAAUAUGUUCCCGGAUCUUGUACUCACCGCCCGUCACACCAAGAGAGUUGGUAGCUCCCGAAGCGUCCCGUUUUAGCGGGGC
RNAcentral lists this ribosomal RNA (1201 nucleotides) under uncultured organism. RNAcentral describes it as "bacterial SSU rRNA". It matches the Rfam family "Bacterial small subunit ribosomal RNA", at positions 215 to 1455 of the family's 1533-position model. The record is from RNAcentral.